AUGUCUAAAACUCAGGCGGACAACAUGAAAUUGAUAAUAAUAGUCUGUAUUUUUGGACUAACUAAGGCGAGGGAUAAUAUGAUUUUACAAUUAUUACAGUCAUUUGGGAGAAUGCACAAUACCAGUAGCCUUACUGCGUGCCUGCCAUUACCCCAUUCAGCAAGCCAUCCUUUAGAAUGGGGCGUAUUAACUUUUAACCUCUCUAGAAUGUGGAACAAUAUCCACAAUAUCAGUGGUAUGCAAAUUAUUAAAGUCCCGAGAGAUCAAACAGUAUACUAUAGUAACGGAACUCAAUGUUGGAGUCGGGGAUUAAGUAUUCUACCCACCGGAGAACAGAUAAUAUGGGACAUACUAGAGAAUAAGAGUAGCUCUUGCCCAGAUGGUUUUCAACGGGACGGGUUACCCAAUGGUGAGGACUUAUGUUGGAACGUAGACAAUGUGUAUAGCAGUUUAUACGGUAGAAAGAAGAGGUCAAUUAACUCAGAGUCAGGAGGCAAUUGGACCUCAUAUGAAUGUGCUCAGGUGCCAUGGGGAAUGGAUUUAACCUCUAUAUGGAAAAGUUCAGAACAAGGAGAAUGGCAUUAUAGUCAAAAGGCAGAUUGGUGUUUAGAGUGGGCUGGGGAAGUAGGUGCAAACUUAUCCUCUAUUAAGCAACCUUUGCUAGAAGAAGCCAGAAAGAAACUAGGAAACUCCAUGCUGAACUGUACUAACAUUUUUAAUUGCACCUCUAGUGAUCUUGAAAUACAACAAAUUGGACCAAUAGCGCGAACUUUAAGGUUAGGUUGCCUUUGUAGGAAUCUGACCACUUCUAUCAACCAGACAUGGAGGGGAGACAAUUCAAUUAAUUGUAAAAAGAAGGUACUCCCAGCUAUGGGUCACACAGUAUGGGUAAAAGGAGAUGGAACUUGGACAACUCAUCUACCCCUUGAUGGAAAAACUCAACCCUUCACUCUAGGAUUGUUGACCCUAUGUCCUCUGUGGAGGAAGAAUCCCAUCACUGCGGUUUCAAAUGGCUUGGUAAAACGAGACCAAACUAAGGAAGAGGACUGGAAAAAACCUAGUGCGGGAACUGUUGUUGGUUGGGUAUUGGAAUCCAUCUUCAGCCCCCAGUCUAUGAGUUUACACAAUAAGUUUGCUAUAGAUAAUCUAACAGGACAGGUGGAGGUAUUAGCAAAUGCUACCCAGAACAGUCUGUGGGAAUUAAAUCAACAAGCUCAAAGCACUUCUAAGAUGACCCUCCAAAACAGACAAGCCUUAGAUUUACUCUUGGCCCGAGACCAUGGACUAUGUGGAUAUAUACAAGAAGACCCGGAAAACUGUUGUAUCCACAUUCCGAAUGUAAUGGGACCUCUUAAAGAGCAAUUAGAAAGAAUUAAAAAGGUGCUACACUUCGACAGUUUCUGGAAGAGUGAAGAAGUUGGCCAGAGUGAAUACAGGCAUACCUCAUUUUAUUGUGCUUUGCAGAUAUUGCAUUUUUUACAAAUUGAAGGUUUGUGGCAACCCUGCAUCGAGCAAGUCUAUUGGUGCCAUUUUUCCAACAGCAUGUGCUCACUUUGUGUCUCUGUGUCACAUUUUCGUAAUUCUUGCAAUAUUUCAAGCUUUUUCAUUAUUAUUAUAUCUGUUAUGAUGAUCUGUGAUCAGUGAUCUUUGAUGUUACUAUUGUAAUUGUUUUGGGGCACACGAACUGUGCCCAUAUAAGACGGUGAACUUAAUUGAUAAAUGUUGUGUGUGUUCUGACUGCUCCACCGACUGGCUGUUCCCCCAUCUCUCUCCCUCUCCUCGGGCCUCCCUAUUCCCUGAGACACAACAAUAUGGAAAUUAGGGCAAUUAAUAACCCUACAAUGGCCUCUAAGUGUCCAAGUGAAAGGAAGAGUCGCACAUCUCUCACUUUAAAUCAAAAGCUAGAAAUGAUAAAGCUUAGUGAGGAAGGCAUGUCGAAAGCCGAGAUAGGCCGAAAGCUCGGCCUCUUGCGCCAAACAGUUAGCCAAGUUGUGAAUGCAAAGGAAAAGUUCUUGAAGGAAAUUCAAAGUGCUACUCCAGUGAACACACGAAUGAUAAGAAAGCGAAACAGCCUUAUUGCUGAUAUGGAGAAAGUUUUAGUGCUCUGGAUAGAAGAUCAAACCAGCCAUAACAUUCCUGUAAGCCAAAGCCUAAUCCAGAGCAAGGCCCUAACUCUCUUCAAUUGUAUGAAGGCUGAGAGAGGUGAGGAAGCUGCARAAGAAAAGUUUGAAGCUAGCAGAGGUUGGUUCAUGAGGUUUAAGGAAAGAAGCUGUCUCCACAACAUAAAGGCUCAAGGUGAAGCAGCAAGCGCUGAUGUAGAAGCUGCAGCAAGUUAUCCAGAAGAUCUAGCUAAGACAAUUGGCUACACUAAGCAACAGAUUUUCAAUGUAGACAAAACCGCCUUAUAUUGGAAGAAGAUGCCAUGUAGGACUUUCAUAGCUAGAGAAGAGAAGUCAGUGCCAGUCUUCAAAGCUUCAAAGGACAGACUGACAGCAAGAGAACUAGAAUUAGAAGUGGAGCCUGAAGAUGUGACUGAAUUGCUGCAAUCUCAUGAUAAAACUUUAACGGAUGAGGAGUUGCUUCUUAUGAAUGAGCAGAGAAAGUGGUUUCUUGAGAUGGAAUCUACUCCUGGUGAAGAUACUGUGAACAUUGUUGAAAUGACAACAAAGGAUUUAGAAUAUUACAUAAACUUAGUUGAUAAAGCAGCGGCAGGGUUUGAGAGGAUUGACUCCAAUUUUGAAAGAGGUUCUGUUGUGGGUAAAAUGCUAUCAAACAGCAUCGCAUGCUACAGAGAAAUCCUUCGUGAAAGGAAGAGUCAAUCGAUGCGGCAGACUUCAUUGUCUUAUUUUAAGAAAUUGCCACAGCCACCCCAGCCUUCAGCGACCACCACCCUGAUCAGUCAGCAGCCAUCAACAUCGAGGCAAGACCCUCCAUUGGCAAAAAGAUUACGACUAGCUGAAGGCUCAGAUGAUGGUUAGCAUUUUUUGAAGUAUUUUUUAAUUAAGGUAUGUACAUUGGUUUUUUAGACAUAAUACUAUUACACACUUAAUAGACUACAGUAUAGUGUAAACAUAACUUUUAUAUGCACUGGGAAACCAAAAAAUUUGUGUGAMUUGCUUUAUUGCUAUAUUCUCUUUAUUGCGGUGGUCUGGAACCAAACCUGCAAUAUCUCUGAGGUAUGCCUGUAAAAGAAAAAAGGUGGUCAGUCAAGUACAAAGUAUCCCCUUGAAAGACUUUUUAAGGGCUAAAUUGGGGCUUUCUUGCUGUUUAAUUGUCCCAAGCCUCUUUGUCAAGUCCUGUCUACACGAGUACAGAUGACUAUUUACACUUUCAACAAAAUUUAAAAGACCAGAUCAUGAAUUUCUAAAAGCCAUAUAUAAAAAUUAUUUCCAUUGCCACUGAAACACACAAAGCUAUAUUUAAAAGUAUUUCUAGAAUAGCUGUUGGUUAUUCUAGCUAGCUGUAGCUAGCUUUGUGCUCUUGAAGUGCAUGGAUUAUUGCAAAGAUAACAAUAAUUGCCAUAAGAAUUACUGUAGUUUGUGCAGAAGUUAUUUCUCAGCUGGUCAUGGUAGAUAUUUACAAAUAAAACAAUAGAGCAAAUAAAUGAAUCA
This 3611-nucleotide long non-coding RNA is filed under the name Apteryx haastii (Great spotted kiwi). Its description in RNAcentral is "lncRNA (ENSAHAG00000014693.1)". The record is from RNAcentral. Lineage: Eukaryota; Metazoa; Chordata; Aves; Apterygiformes; Apterygidae.